AGAGGCUGCGGCGCGUGGCCUGAGGCGGAGAGCCGGGCUGCGGGGGUCCGGGCCAGGCCAGGCGCCGGCCUGACCCGCCUCGCCGGCAAGAGCAGGCCGGGCUUCCUCCUCCCUUGGCGGGCGGGGGAGGGAAAGGGGGAUCCUGGCCGGGGGUAAGGGGGAAAGGUGGUCCUGAUUCUCCCUGUGCCACCGCCACAAAGCUGAUCCUGGCCUCCUGCGGAGAAGCCUGAGCGCCUUCCCGCAGACCUGACGCGACCCCCUCCCAGGUACCUGGGCCUCGGCCUGGUCUAGCGAGUCCCCUUCCUCCCAAGGAGCAGCCGGCGGAGCUCGGGUGGAGGAAAGCGAGGAGGCGACCAGGAGGAUGCCGCCGCCGCCGCCGCAGGGCCCGGGGCUUCUGCAGGGCGCAAGGCCUCCCUCACCAGGGUAAGGGGCUGGCGAUCAACCUGGACGCCUGGGACCUUGGGAGCAAGCAUCCCGCAGCCGAGCAGGCGACGGCGCGGCCACCGCCUAGAGAGGAGCCGGGGCCCGGGGCGGCGUGCGGGUCGGCAGCAGCCGGCUUGGCCUAUCCGAAACCCCAGGCCUGGAAGCGGCUGCUUUAGGCGUCAAGUUGAGCGGGGUAUGUGUGUCCUCUUGGGAAAAAGGUGAGAAAUGGAGCCGGACUUUCUCCACUCGGUAGGGGUUAAGCUACCACACACACCCCCAAACACAUGCCCACGUGCAAGUCCCUCCCACCCGCCCUCCCAGGGGCGAAGAGACCCUGUCCCAGUGGAAGUGGGGAAACCCAGUCGGGUACAGAAAGCAGAGGCCAUGGCGCAGAGCGGAGGCGCGGCUUUCUGGGGCUCAGCCCUAGGGCUACAGACCCAGGGCGCGGAGAUGCUCGCGGCCGGGCCACCCACCAGAGCCAGGCAACCGGCGCUUCCAGGCGAGCUCCGCGGGGCCGAGGUGCCGGGAGAAGCGGCCCCGGGCGCCCGCGCGCUGCCCGACCUGGGUAACAGGCAAAGCGGAGCCCCGGGGUCGAAGUCCUAAAGUUACUAAUCCCGCGGAGGGGGAGAGAGCGUGCCUCGGGCCGCCCGGGGCGGUCAUUUGAGCGUGUUUACUUAAAGACUUUGCAAGCAGAGCGCGCGCGAAAUCGUCGGAUUUCCAGCGAGGCAGCAAAUAUUUGCAGGCAGAAGAAAGAAGCGGAGCCGAGCCGAGCCGCCGAGUCCCUCCCCCCGGAGCCCCGGAGCCCCGGCGCCUGCCUGGGCGGUCCCGGCCGCGCAGACAGAAAAGAAGCCGGGAAUCUGCGGGGCUGGGGGGCGGGGAGCGACACCAAAGGCCAGAAACUGCAGCACGGCCCGAGGCCCUGGCGAGCUGGGCCUGGGGGAGGAGAAGUCCCUUCCCAUUCCAGCUCGAUCAAUCUUGCUGGGCUGCGAUCGGUCAAUAAAAACGGUGUGAAGCGGCCGCUGUCGCUGUGAGUCUGGGGAGGAAGUGGAGGCCAAAGGUGUCGAGGCCGGCGCCAGUACCCCGCACCAGCCGGGUCCGCGGCCCCGCGGUCUGCACGUCGCAGGCCGGGGGCCAGAGCUUUGCCGGCAGCCGAGAGCGGCCCGGCGGGGCCUUUAAUUGGGUGUCUCCAUUUUAAUAGAGGCCAUUGUUGGAGCAAUUAGAGAAAGACAAUAACCGCCCAGAGACGUUUAAUUCGAUUCCCUGCGCCCGCCGCAGUACGCACCGGGGCGCUCUGGAAGAGUGGCCGAGGCUGCGCGGAAGGGAGGGUCCGCUUGGGGAGGCGCCGGCUUCUUUCCUUGCUUGCUUUGCCUUCGGUGUGGGAAUUGUAAAGGGCGACUGGGGCAAGAUGAAAGCGGGGCGAGGGCGACCUGAGCCAGGCCAGGGCCGGCCUCUCUAGCCCACGCCGGGCGCCCGCGGGACCGCCGCGCCUUUCGCGGCGCGCGUCCAGCUGUGGCCGCCGCGGAGGUCCCCAGCGCCUGUUCAAAGGAGAGAAGCCGGAGGACCGGGCCGUGAAAACUGGCCUCCUUCCUCCUUAGCCCCGGGUCCCCAUUUCUGUCACCCGAACCAUGUCCAUAUUUCCUUCCCUAUGGUGGGAGGAGGGGCAAAGGAGAGAUCCCGGGUAUUGGAGCGCGCACACCUCCGUCUCCAACCCAGCCAGCCUCACCGCCCCCUCCUCCGCCUCGGCCCCUGGAUUAGGUUACCCUGGCCGCGCAAGGGUUUCUACUGGAUAGGACUAUAGCACAGGUAAAGCUGUAUAAACAGCUCGCCGGCUGCCGGGCGGGAGGGUUAUGCCGGGGACACGGCUCCAGGCGCCGCCGCUGGCCCCGGCUGCGCGGGCCACACCGCGGGGAGCCCGCUGCGGCAGGGCGCCCCGGACCGCGCAGGUUAAAUACAUAUUAUCUCUGUCUCUGCCACUCGGGCCCCCGUUUUCUUUCCCUUGCGAGCUGAAAUGCGGAGAGCGGGGAGCAAGACCUAAACGGGAAGAAAAGGCAGUCGGGCAGUGGGCAAUACUGGUUGAGGAUCCCGGCCCAGCAAGGCUGGCUCUCUUCAAACAAAACCCAGAGAGCAGGGAACUUGGGGGAAAGCAGAGAAAGAGGGACCCUAAAACUCACUGGCAAUGGGAAGAUGAUGGAGGCGGGUGCGUCCAAGGGGCAACUCUCCUCGCGGCUCCCACGCCCACGCGCCCCGGGCCAGGAGUCUACCUUCCCCGUGAAAUGAGCUAUCGUUUUGGGGAUGGUAUGUGAUUUGAUUUACCCUUUUUUCUUUUCCUUCCUUUAGUUCUUUUUUCUUUUUCUUUUUUCUUUUUUUUUCUGUUUGUUUGUUUGUUUUGCUUAUUCAUCGAUCACCGUUUAAAACUCGGAAGGAAACCCGCCCAGGCCAGGAGAGCCGCGAGCCGUGGGGAGAGUCAAAAAAGAGGAGAUGCGCUGGGAGAUUCCCCCCGCCCCCGCACUCCGCCCCCAGCCCGGCCCCGGCCUCCACUUCGAGGGAUCCUGACCCUCCCACCGCCACUACCACCUUUUCCCCGGUUGAGAAAACCCCUGAUUGUAGCGAGAUAAAAAUUGGACCCGACCUCUCCUCCGUCCCAGGGGGCCGCUCAGCCACACCGCUAUAGCACCCAGGACUCCGGCCCCUGCACCAAGGAAAGGCUCCAGCCUGGCAGAAAUUCACCCAUUUCAAGGCUUGGCCCACCAGGCCUUAGCAUUGCCGGGUGAGGUGGGGUGCACGCGGUGUUCAGUCUGGCCAGUCGGAGUCACCUGCUCCACUCCCCCGGCCUGGUCACCCACAUCCUCACAGCCACCCAGCUCCUGAGCCCCCUGGCCAACCACAGCCCCAACCCCCAGCGCUGGCCUCAGCCGAGUCUCCUCCGUCUGCUUCAGUUUGGCCUUUUAGGAGGAGAAGGAGGGCUUUAUCUGGGGACUAUUGUGUUUUGACUCAUCUAGAUUAGCCUAGGAGCUGGAGUGUGAUUGUAGCGGGACACUCUGGCAGGGGAUGUGUUCACAGCACGGAUAGGAAAAGAGGGGGAGGGGGACUCCAUUCAGAUCUUGGAGACAGUAGAGGCGCGCUUUUAAAAGCACAAACCGUUCUUGUCUUCCUUUGGACAUGCUAGAGACCACCUGGUGAAAAAAAAAAUCCAUGUUUGUGCCCGACUCAGAGGUGCAAAGGAGGAGGUUUGGCAUGCGCACCCUUCUCCCGGCCUCCCUUGGUCCCGGACUGCCCCCUACCCGCAGCCCCUCCCUCCGGGCAGCUCAGCUCUAGGCUGCCUUCCACCUCGCGGACCCUAAGCAAUUUGUUAUAUAAAACAAAACAGCAACCAGACGCAUGUGCCUGUUCUUCACUAACGCCAGCAGACCGGCAGCGACGGAUACCCGGUGGACCUCAGCCGGGACGCCUCGGGCAGCAGCUUCUUGCCCGCUGCCGCACCCACCUCUGCACCCCAGCUCGGGUCAGCCCAGCAGCCAAAGCAAAAGGGGGAUUCCUCAGUUUGCUCCCUUGGAGGCUACAAAGCCUCUCUCUGGUUAUUCCAACCGUUAAGUAAAAAAGAGGUGAUGGGAAAGAUUUGGUCUGCACACAAAGAUAUACCAGGAGAAGAAUGCACAUUUAUGUGUAAAAUGGCUUAGGCACCAAGAAUGAGACAUCACUUCAGUGCAGCCUAGAAAUAGUUAAAAAUAACCGAAUGCUAGAGGACAGAGGUGGUUUUGGGAUCUGCCCCACACUCCUUAUCAGGAUCCCUAAUUCCCUGCCACCUCCUAUGGUUCCAGGACGCAAACUGCUUUAACCUCCAGAAGAGGGGUUUUCAGCCACCUGGCUCCCACCUACCUGCCGGUUCCCCAGGCACUCUGUGUGACCCAGGGCAACUGGACAACCCAAAAGAAAACCCCUACCAAACAAUGCUCAGGGCUUCCCACUCCCAUCCCUUCUCUGCGCCCCUGACUGUCCCCACCUCGUUUAUCUUCUGCAAGAAGGCAGGGUGUAAAUGUCAAAUAAAGAAAAAUGCAGCUUGCCAGAUCUCCUUGCUUUUGGUGGGGACAGAAUAGCCCCAGUGCUGGGGCUGGCAGAGAUCUCUUGUGCAGAGUGGAGGAUGGGCCCGUGGAUUGCAGCCGCUCCGCAUUUUCUAAGCCCUGCGGCUUCUUGGGCCAGGGACUUAAGGCUUUACGGGGCAGCUGGCUGGGAGCUGCAAGCAGGGCCUCCUGCUUGAUCCCACCGAAAGACUCCAUAAUCAGACCCCCUAUGCGACCCGACACCCAAUGGGGUCUUGGUCUGAACUGACACCACGCCCCGACUGGGUUCAAAUGGGUAGAAAACAAUUCCGUUCUUCUGAAUGGCACAAACAUGUCAUGGUAAGCCCCUGACACACACACACACACACACACACACACACACACACACACACACUGCCAGCCAUUUGGGCCCCCAAGCAUCUCAUUUACAGAUGCCUGGAUGGACUCAACCUGCCUGGCUAGACCCCCAGCCCACCCACUGCUACUACCACUACCUUCUCGGCAGCAGCCGCUAGGCAGAGGAGGCUUUGGAAAUGCUACUUCAACAUGGAUCCCUUUAAAGUUCUUAAUCUCCCAUCUGCGACCCCAGCAUCCUGGUGAGCAUGGACAAUAGGGAGGAGAGAAGGACCAGGAAAUAUGGGAACGAAGCCGAGGGAGAUGCCGCACUUUCCCCCCUGCCCUUGCCAGAAUCACCGGUGUCACUUUCCUCAGGCACCCUGUUGGUGUCCGAGAGAAAGAAAAGGCAUGUAAAGCAGCUGUCCUGCCCAGAUUCACUCCACUUCCUUGACAUUUUAACAAUAUCUGUCUUCAGGGGGGAACUGCCUCUGAGUGACUUUUUGGAGGUCUGUUGGUCUGCUGUCCCGGGAGUUAAGUCCAAAUCUUGUCCUCUCUGCCCCUUCCGCUUCGGAUGCCCCUGGGCACCCUCUGGGGAGGCUGCGGUUUUCUCACCCACCUCAGGGUGCUCCUGGAAGCAAAGAAGCCUCCGGACCCCUAGCUUCCCGGGGGUAUGCCAGAUGCAGACACAUCUGGGUUCCAACUUUAUCUUACAGAGCAGAGCUGUUUCUUUAAUUAUAUGCAGAGACAAUGAGCCUCAACACACACCUUUAAACAGAGGAAAAUAAACAUGAAAUUGACACUGAAGCCACCUUUAGAAGAAGGCUCCUGGGCACAGGGGUUGUUUUCCCCAAUCCUCUGCCCUCCUUGCAGUGGGAAACGUGUCUCCGGCCCUUUCCAAGCAUUCCCACGGGCUCUCAUUCUUCCGUUGGGUUUUUCUUCACAUCCCUACUUCUACCAGCUCUUUCCUGCAAACGAGGACAUCCACACACUCACACACCGUACCCGCCCAAGGUCACCACAGAAACCCAGAGAUUUCCAGUGACCAAAAAGAACAAUAAGAACUGGGUUCUAGUUUAGUUUCUUUCAGAGGGAGUCUGCCCUUUGGAGAGGAGGCCUCCUCCUAAUUCUCUCCACGUGGAGCGGGCAGAGGGAGUGCGGAGUUAGAGAGGGAAGAGAGUGAUAUUCACUGACCUGGGCAGCUCGCUCCCGAGGGCCAGCUGUUUUUUAUUUUUUUUCCUGACUCGCCCGGAGAUCUGAAGGCAGAAAUGACAGGCAGAGUUCGCCACUGUGGCCGCCGCUGCCGUCCUGGCCGCUGGAACUGCUCACCGCAUCUCAGGCGGGCUUCCAGCGAGAGGAACAAAAGCCACCUCAACGCAACAGGCUUUACUGGCUGCCUCUUACAGGAUGGAUUUCAGAAUCCAAGGCUGUACGGGGAGUCCCCUCCCAACCACUGACAGCACCAGAAUCUCCCGGCUUCAGGAAGUGGAAGGGGCAGGAGUCAUUGGCUGCAGCGAACGCAAGAUUCUCAAAGAAAUAGUUUCCUAACAGAAUGACUGAUACCAUUGUGGAAAGAGACAUUAUUCAGGACAUUAUCUGUUUCAUUCUUCCGUCAAGGACAUUUGGAACCACAAAUCAGUCAGGGGAUAAAGAUCCUCACUGUGCCUCACUGUAGACACCUUUGGAAGAGAAACACCUUGUCAGCCACAGAAAUUAAGCUCUGCCAGUUCCAUCUGGCUCUGACGGCAGAUCAUCACACCAGAAGAGCGUCUCGGUUUCAUGAGGUGAGGGUCUGUUUCUCAAAUACCAUCUCCCUCAAUAAAAUCACUAGUCAGGACAAUCCCCGCCCCCCCCGUUUCUUGAACUUCCUUUGGUUGGUGUCACAGCCAGCCACCCAGUAGAGACUGAGACCACCAGUUCAUUUCACACAGGCCACUGAACAGUCAUAAGAUGGUGACAACUUUUGGUCUCUAGUGACCUGGACUGGAUCCGACUCACUGACCUAGAGGUGAAAGGCUCUGUAUUCCAUUACUAAUCCCUCGAGCUCUCCAGCCCCCUGAAAAUGAUUCUUUGGUUUUAUUAUUGCAAAGACCAUUUAUAAAAUCAUGAACUGGAUUUAGGAAAGCAACCAUGAAAUAGCAAGGGACAACAAACUGAUUGAAAUUCCUUAAAUGUAGCAUGGGCUGAAGUCUCUCAGACAGUAAGAUUGGGGGGAAAGUUAUAUAUAGGCACCUCCAUUCUGAUUUCAGUAGCGUGACCUGCUCACUUAAACGUGGCAACUUCAGAUCAUGGACCACGCCUCAAGGAACUAAAUCCUAAAUAAAGAAAAUGGAAAAGCAAACUAUGAAAUAGCCAAUAAUCUUUAUUUUGCACUUCCCCCACCCCUCACCCCUCUCCAAAAACCA
RNAcentral lists this long non-coding RNA (7219 nucleotides) under Homo sapiens (human). Its description in RNAcentral is "non-protein coding GATA3-AS1:24". The record is from RNAcentral. Lineage: Eukaryota; Metazoa; Chordata; Mammalia; Primates; Hominidae.